This 490-nucleotide ribosomal RNA is filed under the name Cytospora sp. RM-2017f. RNAcentral's name for it is "eukaryotic LSU rRNA". The stretch from base 181 to 334 matches the Rfam family "5.8S ribosomal RNA". The record is from RNAcentral. Lineage: Eukaryota; Fungi; Ascomycota; Sordariomycetes; Diaporthales; Cytosporaceae.
AACCCUUUGUGAACUUAUACCUACAUCGUUGCCUCGGCGCUGGCUGCCCCUCCCGCUUCUGGGAGGGGGCCCCCUACCCGGACGUAAAACACCCGGGCGGAGGACAGCAGGCCCGCCGGCGGCCUACUUAACUCUUGUUUUUACCGAGUAAUAUCUGAGUAAAGCUUCUAAAUAAAUUAAAACUUUCAACAACGGAUCUCUUGGUUCUGGCAUCGAUGAAGAACGCAGCGAAAUGCGAUAAGUAAUGUGAAUUGCAGAAUUCAGUGAAUCAUCGAAUCUUUGAACGCACAUUGCGCCCUCUGGUAUUCCAGAGGGCAUGCCUGUUCGAGCGUCAUUUCAACCCUCAAGCCUAGCUUGGUGUUGGGGCAUUACCUUCCCUCACGGGGGGUAAGCCCUGAAAUUCAGUGGCGAGCUCGCCAGGACUCCGAGCGUAGUAGUAAAACCCUCGCUUUGGACUGUACUGGCGCGGCCCUGCCGUAAAACCCCCAAC